AAAGCCUUAGUAACAAAUAUUACGUAGCCCUGUCAGUGCUAAAUUAUGGUUAAACCCAUAGACUUUA
RNAcentral lists this transfer RNA (67 nucleotides) under Furcifer oustaleti (Oustalet's chamelion). RNAcentral's name for it is "tRNA-Asp". The record is from RNAcentral. Lineage: Eukaryota; Metazoa; Chordata; Lepidosauria; Squamata; Chamaeleonidae.